UCCCUGGUGGCUAAGAAGGUAAAGAAUCUACCUGUAAUGUGGGAGACCCAGGCUCGAUCCCUGGGUAGGGAC
This 72-nucleotide transfer RNA is filed under the name Capra hircus (goat). It matches the Rfam family "tRNA". From Rfam's summary of the family: Transfer RNA (tRNA) molecules are approximately 80 nucleotides in length. Their secondary structure includes four short double-helical elements and three loops (D, anti-codon, and T loops). Further hydrogen bonds mediate the characteristic L-shaped molecular structure. tRNAs have two regions of fundamental functional importance: the anti-codon, which is responsible for specific mRNA codon recognition, and the 3' end, to which the tRNAs corresponding amino acid is attached (by aminoacyl-tRNA synthetases). tRNAs cope with the degeneracy of the genetic code in two manners: having more than one tRNA (with a specific anti-codon) for a particular amino acid; and 'wobble' base-pairing, i.e. permitting non-standard base-pairing at the 3rd anti-codon position. The record is from Rfam by way of RNAcentral. RNAcentral also lists the same sequence under 1 other name. Lineage: Eukaryota; Metazoa; Chordata; Mammalia; Artiodactyla; Bovidae.